GAUGAACGCUAGCUACAGGCUUAACACAUGCAAGUCGAGGGGAAACGGCAUUGAGUGCUUGCACUCUUUGGACGUCGACCGGCGCACGGGUGAGUAACGCGUAUCCAACCUUCCCAUUACUGUGGGAUAACCUGCCGAAAGGCAGACUAAUACCGCAUAGUCUUCGAUGACGGCAUCAGAUUUGAAGUAAAGAUUUAUCGGUAAUGGAUGGGGAUGCGUCUGAUUAGCUUGUUGGCGGGGUAACGGCCCACCAAGGCUACGAUCAGUAGGGGUUCUGAGAGGAAGGUCCCCCACAUUGGAACUGAGACACGGUCCAAACUCCUACGGGAGGCAGCAGUGAGGAAUAUUGGUCAAUGGACGGAAGUCUGAACCAGCCAAGUAGCGUGCAGGAUGACGGCCCUAUGGGUUGUAAACUGCUUUUGUAUGGGGAAAAAGUUAGGGACGUGUCCCUAUUUGCAGGUACCAUACGAAUAAGGACCGGCUAAUUCCGUG
This 492-nucleotide ribosomal RNA is filed under the name uncultured bacterium. Its description in RNAcentral is "partial 16S ribosomal RNA". It matches the Rfam family "Bacterial small subunit ribosomal RNA", at positions 28 to 507 of the family's 1533-position model. The record is from RNAcentral.